ACCCUGAGGCGUGAUGACGAGUCACUACGGUGAUGAAGUAGUUGAUGCCAAGCUUCCAGGAAAAGCCUCUAAGCUCUAGGUAACAUUGAAUCGUACCCCAAACCGACACAGGUGGUCAGGUAGAGAAUACCAAGGCGCUUGAGAGAACUCGGGUGAAGGAACUAGGCAAAAUGGUGCCGUAACUUCGGGAGAAGGCACGCUGGCGCGUAGGUGAAGUCCCUUGCGGAUGGAGCUGAAGCCAGUCGAAGAUACCAGCUGGCUGCAACUGUUUAAUAAAAACACAGCACUGUGCAAACACGAAAGUGGACGUAUACGGUGUGACGCCUGCCCGGUGCUGGAAGGUUAAUUGAUGGGGUCAGCCGCAAGGCGAAGCUCUUGAUCGAAGCCCCAGUAAACGGCGGCCGUAACUAUAACGGUCCUAAGGUAGCGAAAUUCCUUGUCGGGUAAGUUCCGACCUGCACGAAUGGCGUAAUGAUGGCCAGGCUGUCUCCACCCGAGACUCAGUGAAAUUGAACUCGCUGUGAAGAUGCAGUGUACCCGCGGCAAGACGGAAAGACCCCGUGAACCUUUACUAUAGCUUGACACUGAACAUUGAGCCUUGAUGUGUAGGAUAGGUGGGAGGCUUUGAAGCGUGGACGCCAGUCUGCGUGGAGCCAACCUUGAAAUACCACCCUUUAAUGUUUGAUGUUCUAACUCCGGUCCCUAAUCGGGAUUGAGGACAGUGUCUGGUGGGUAGUUUGACUGGGGCGGUCUCCUCCUAAAGAGUAACGGAGGAGCACGAAGGUUAGCUAAUCACGGUCGGACAUCGUGAGGUUAGUGCAAUGGCAUAAGCUAGCUUGACUGCGAGAGUGACGGCUCGAGCAGGUACGAAAGUAGGUCAUAGUGAUCCGGUGGUUCUGAAUGGAAGGGCCAUCGCUCAACGGAUAAAAGGUACUCCGGGGAUAACAGGCUGAUACCGCCCAAGAGUUCAUAUCGACGGCGGUGUUUGGCACCUCGAUGUCGGCUCAUCACAUCCUGGGGCUGAAGUAGGUCCCAAGGGUAUGGCUGUUCGCCAUUUAAAGUGGUACGCGAGCUGGGUUUAGAACGUCGUGAGACAGUUCGGUCCCUAUCUGCCGUGGGCGUUGGAAGAUUGAGAGGGGCUGCUCCUAGUACGAGAGGACCGGAGUGGACGCAUCACUGGUGUUCGGGUUGUCAUGCCAAUGGCAUUGCCCGGUAGCUAAAUGCGGAAAAGAUAAGCGCUGAAAGCAUCUAAGCGCGAAACUUGCCUCGAGAUGAGUCUUCCCUGAGACCUUGAGUCUCCUAAAGGAACGUUUAAGACUAAGACGUUGAUAGGCUGGGUGUGUAAGCGUAGCGAUACGUUGAGCUAACCAGUACUAAUGAUCCGUGAGGCUUAACCUUACAACACCGAAGGUGUUU
RNAcentral lists this ribosomal RNA (1416 nucleotides) under Hafnia paralvei. Its description in RNAcentral is "partial 23S ribosomal RNA". It matches the Rfam family "Bacterial large subunit ribosomal RNA", at positions 1553 to 2925 of the family's 2925-position model. Lineage: Bacteria; Pseudomonadati; Pseudomonadota; Gammaproteobacteria; Enterobacterales; Hafniaceae. The record is from RNAcentral.